AUGUGUUUUGUUUUGUUUAUUACCCUGUAGUUUAUCAUAAACUUUGUUUUGUAAUUUAUAAUGUAUUUUGUAUUUUAAGAAUUGUAUUUUUAUUU
Molecule: long non-coding RNA, 95 nt
Organism: Ipomoea nil (Japanese morning glory)
Lineage: Eukaryota; Viridiplantae; Streptophyta; Magnoliopsida; Solanales; Convolvulaceae
Exons: 3
Source: RefSeq, a predicted model, not a curated record